AUAGAUAGAUAGAUAGAUAGAUAGAUAGAUAGAAAGGUGCUAUAUAACAUAGAUAGAUAGAUAGAUAGAUAGAUAGAUAGAUAGAUAGAUAGAGUGAAAGGCGCUAUAUAACAGAUAGAUAGAUAGAUAGAUAGAUAGAUAGAUAGAGUGAAAGGCGCUAUAUAACAGAUAGAUAGAUAGAGUGAAAGGUGCUAUAUAACAGAUAGAUAGAUAGAUAGAUAGAGUGAAAGGUGCUAUAUAACAGAUAGAUAGAUAGAUAGAUAGAUAGAUAGAUAGAUAGAUAGAUAGAUAGAUAGAUAGAUAGAGUGAAAGGUGCUAUAUAACAGAUAGAUAGAUAGAUAAAUAGAUAGAUAGAGUGAAAGGUGCUAUAUAACAGAUAGAUAGAUAGAUAGAUAGAUAGAUAGAUAGAUAGAUAGAUAGAUAGAUAGAUAGAGUGAAAGGCGCUAUACGAUAGAUAGAUAGAU
Long non-coding RNA from Erpetoichthys calabaricus (reedfish), 464 nucleotides. RefSeq lists it as uncharacterized. The record is from RefSeq and is a predicted model, not a curated record. Lineage: Eukaryota; Metazoa; Chordata; Cladistia; Polypteriformes; Polypteridae. The transcript is spliced from 3 exons.